GAUGAACGCUGGCGGCGUGCCUAAUACAUGCAAGUCGAGCGAACGGACGAGAAGCUUGCUUCUCUGAUGUUAGCGGCGGACGGGUGAGUAACACGUGGAUAACCUACCUAUAAGACUGGGAUAACUUCGGGAAACCGGAGCUAACACCGGAUAAUAUUUUGAACCGCAUGGUUCAAAAGUGAAAGACGGCCUUGCUGUCACUUAUAGAUGGAUCCGCGCUGCAUUAGCUAGUUGGUAAGGUAAAGGCUUACCAAGGCAACGAGGCAUAGCCGACGUGUGUGAGUGGUAGGCCACAUGAGAGCUGGGACAGCGUCCAGGCGCCUGCGGGAGGCAGCAGUAGGGAAUCUGCCGCAGUGGGCGAGAGCCUGACGGAGCGACGCCGCGUGAGUGAUGAAAGUCUUCGGAUCGGAAAACUCUGUUAUGAGGGAAGAACAUAUGUGUAAGUAACUGUGCACAGCUUGACGGUACCUAGUCAGAAAGCCACGGCUAACUACGUG
Molecule: ribosomal RNA, 497 nt
Filed under: uncultured bacterium
Lineage: Bacteria
Description: partial 16S ribosomal RNA
Rfam family: Bacterial small subunit ribosomal RNA
Source: RNAcentral